Molecule: long non-coding RNA, 382 nt
Organism: Microtus oregoni (creeping vole)
Lineage: Eukaryota; Metazoa; Chordata; Mammalia; Rodentia; Cricetidae
Exons: 3
Source: RefSeq, a predicted model, not a curated record
AGGCGGCGGCAACGGCGUCCGCGGGGCCCUAGCGCCUGGCCACGCCCCUCUCCCGUUCGUCGCACACGAACACCGUGCGUGUGACGUAAGCACCGCCUGCACGCGGCUGGCACAACAUUGAGGGUCACGCCUACGAAGGGGGCGUGGCCCGUCACAGGCCACAUCACAGAGUACGUGUCCAUGAGUGACAUUUUACAUUCCCAGAUGUGACAGGUAACUCUGCUGCUUUCCUCGUGGCUAAACUGCUCUGAGAGACUCCACCAGUGAGCCCCCGAGGAAAACUAGACCUACCCUGCUCCGUCUGAAAGGCUGAAGUGACCCUCUGCAAACUGAGAGUCAGCUUUUAGAUAACCCCCUGGCUGCUCGUGACCAACAACUGAGG